Molecule: ribosomal RNA, 641 nt
Filed under: Helicodonta obvoluta
Lineage: Eukaryota; Metazoa; Mollusca; Gastropoda; Stylommatophora; Helicodontidae
Description: partial 12S small subunit ribosomal RNA
Source: RNAcentral
CCAAAAAUGGGUACACCUUUAAAGACCGUUUUGAUAUGGUGUAUAUUUGAUGCGCAUGUGGAAGAUAUAUGGGAUUAUAUGAACACCCAGCUCUGAGAUUUUUGCAUUUAAGCAAUUAAGACCAAGAUAACAUGCUUUUAAUGUCAUAAAAAGUGCCAGCAGUCGCGGUCACACUUUUGUUGGGAAUCAAAUACUACUAAUAGAAUAUAUAUUAUAUUAAAAUACACUGUGGUGAAAUAUUCAACUGCUUUACACCUUAAAAUAAAUAUUCUCCUACUGGUUUCAAACAAGGAUUAGAUACCCUUCUAUGCAGUACUUUAACAAAUUCUAAGCAGUAAUACCAUAAGGGUUCAAACUUAAAUAUCAUGGCGGUACUUCUAAUAUUUAGGGGAACUUACUCCGUAAUUGAUAACCACCAAGAUAAUUAACUUUACGUAAUAUUUUGUAUGCCGUCGUCGCGAUAAAAUUUAAUAUAUUAUCAUAAUGUACAGCACACUAUGACAGAUCAAGGUGCAGACAACCGUAAUGUGUGAGCGAGUUACAAUAGGUUUUUUCUUCGGAUAAUAGUAGCAUGUUAAUUAAAUGUAGGACUUAAAUGUAAAGUAUAUUAUAAAUAUUUAUUGAAUAUUUUGGAAUUGUGC